Molecule: ribosomal RNA, 515 nt
Filed under: uncultured bacterium
Lineage: Bacteria
Description: partial 16S ribosomal RNA
Rfam family: Bacterial small subunit ribosomal RNA
Source: RNAcentral
AACGAACGCUGGCGGCGUGCCUAACACAUGCAAGUCGAACGGAAUGAGGGGCUUGCUCCUCAUUAAGUGGCGCACGGGUGAGUAACGCGUAGAUAAUCUGCCUGAUGAUCUGGGAUAACAUUUCGAAAGAGGUGCUAAUACCUGAUAAGCCCACGACGGCCUUGGUCGUUGCGGGAAAAGGGGGGGACCAUUUGGCCUUCUGUCAUCAGAUGAGUCUGCGUACCAUUAGCUAGUUGGUAGGGUAAAGGCCUACCAAGGCGACGAUCCCUAGCUGGUCUGAGAGGAUGACCAGCCACACUGGAACUGAGACACGGUCCAGACUCCUACGGGAGGCAGCAGUGGGGAAUAUUGCACAAUGGGCGCAAGCCUGAUGCAGCCAUGCCGCGUGUAUGAAGAAGGCCUUCGGGUUGUAAAGUACUUUCAGCGGGGAGGAAGGCGGUGAAGUUAAUAGCUUCACCGAUUGACGUUACCCGCAGAAGAAGCACCGGCUAACUCCGUGCCAGCCGCCGCGGUAA